Long non-coding RNA from Manis pentadactyla (Chinese pangolin), 437 nucleotides. RefSeq lists it as uncharacterized. The record is from RefSeq and is a predicted model, not a curated record. The transcript is spliced from 4 exons. Lineage: Eukaryota; Metazoa; Chordata; Mammalia; Pholidota; Manidae.
AGCACAUCCAUCGUCCACCUGGACUGCAGAGUGGACGCCACGAUCUUCUCUUGUACCAAAUCCCAUACGUCUCCAUUUGAUCUGGAAAAUAACCAUGACUGAGCCCCACCCGCAGCCCUGGUGGCCCUGACCACACAUGCACACUGACGAACUGCUCCCAUUUUGCUCAGCUCCUGCAGCCCGUCCGACAGAAGCAGCACCACGUCCUCCGCACUCAUCAGCCUUUGGUAUCUCGGAGCCUGUCUGGUCCAGAGGACCUGGGCACCCAUGGGUGGACACCACAAGCCCUCCCUGUCAGCCUGUCAGAGCCCUGUGGUUCCCCUAGGAGGACACGUGACUCUGAAGUGUCAGUUUCCCCUUCCCUUUGCCACAUUCAAACUAUUCAGAAGAGAGGGGACCCGCAGCCGUGAGCUCCAGAGACGUCGUUCCAACAGCUU